GGAAAACCUGGCAGCAUGCUCAGUCCAUCUGCUCAUUCUGUCAGGGAUCUCUGGUGUUCAUAGAGGACGAAAUUGAACAAGAAGCCGCAAGACAUCACCAAGCGUCCUACACAAUCCUAUUAUACUGCUUCCUCUUUGGACUCAUCUGACUAUAAGAACCACAGUUAUCAUAUCAUUCAUGGCAAUUUGAGCUGGUACCAGGCCCAGAAAACAUGUUUGGAGAAGGGUGCGGCACUUGUGAGCAUCACAGACCCGUUUCAGCAGACCUAUCUCACUGCGCUGAUCAACAGGCUUGAAGCCCCACACUGGAUCGGCUUGUACAGCACAGAUAAAGCAUUGCUUUCUCCUAUGAAGUGGUAUGUCCAGAGACCUGGGUAAAGUUUCAUAUUAAAGAUGACCCUGGAGGAAGCGAGAAAUCACUGUAAAAAGAAGAGUACAGCACUUUAAAUAUGUUUGGAUCAAGAGCGCCACCUAGUGGUGGCUUUGAUCAUCUUUGGUUAUAUUUUCAUAGUUUACCAAGAUUAAUUCGUUUCUCAGGAAAUUUUUCAGAUGUUCUUACAGUUCAAGAGCCGGUUCUUCCUUAAAGAGAUGUUACCUCAUUACCGGGGCCCUCAGAAUUUGUGGCUAGGAAUUUUAUACGACACUGACAGUGCCAUCAAAGUGAUAGAAGUGGAGCAAUUUAAAGAUCUGCACCAAGGUGUGAUCUCAGCAGCUGCGUUGGUGGCCAUUGUGCUGUUUGCUGUGGUGAUUGGAUCAUUAUGGCUCCUUUACAAGAGAAACUCCCUGUGCAUCCUAAGGCUUCUAAAGUUUUUACAGACAGACAAGUUCCCAAGGAAAUUACCAAAAUGAAAAUGUUUUACUCCCAGACCUAGAGACACAAGCAGGGGACUAGCAUGUAUUUGUGUGAGCGUAUAGGUGCAUUGUUUCCCUUUGUGUUUUGUGUGAGAGUGUGUUCAUUCAGUCAGGGAAACUGCAGUAGGAAUGAUGAGGAUAGUUGAGUUGUCUGUCCAUACUGUAGCUAAAGGAGGAUACUGUGCACAAACAGGUCAGAUAAAGCCUCAAGACAGACCAUUUAAACGCAUUAUGAAAGGGAUAUCCUCUAUGAAGUGAAAAAAUGGGUCUUUUUCUCUUUGUCUCAUAUUCAGGACAACAACAGAAUUCCUCCUGGGUGUAAAAGUUCAAAUGGGCCAAAUGGCUUGUUUGUUGAGUGUGGUUUAUUAUUGUUAAGGUGUUAAGGCCUGUUUACAUUAACACAAAUGUUUGGCAUGAAAAUGCGUAAACAAAAAAAACAUUUGGACAGUUUGAAUUUCACUGCAAUUUCACUCUCUGAUAGUAUAUUGUGCUUAUAGGAACGCAUAAAUACUGCAAUGCGCUACGCAACUUUGUGCUUCUGACACCCACUUGUCAUGAAGGAGAAAAGAGGCUUCUUUCCAGAUUGUUCCUCUGUUGUUUAUUGCCUAUUAUCAAAAUAUGCCACCAAGUCAUAGUUUUAUGUAACAGCAGCGUGUUUGGGCACAUAAUCAAAAGUGUGACUCUAAUUGGGUGCCUAGUUUUCUUUCAGUGCAAUGGCAAAGAGAUUAGAACUCCUCUCCUCCAUCAGUUGUUUAUCGCAUAAAUUUUUGUAUCAAAUAUUCGUCUGUAAGUUGUAUACAUAAAGAAAUAAAUAGUGUUUUGAAAAGAAUGUAUAACAAAAACAUAUGUGUUCCUAAUCUUAAUGGGCACGAUUAAUCUUGUUACCAAACUUUGUAAUCUUUUUAAAAAUAUAAUAACUUGCUCCACCUCUUAAACAAAUUUUCUUUCUGAUGACAUCACCAAGGCCACUUGCAUUUUAACCAAUUGUUGUCUGGCAGUGUGUCAAGAGGGGAAGAGUCAUUCACAGUUGACUGCAAACUGUUGUAUGAAGCAGACACUUUUAAUAAUGGGUAACUUUUCAAAACAUCCAUCACAUUAUGAAAGUAAAAGGGGUUGUGGGUGUCAUUUCAUGUUGACUUUUAAGUGUUACUCUUCAAUAUUUGCAGCUAUUCAGCAAUGCAACUUUCGGAUCUCUAUGAUCCUCCAAUCCAGGGUGAACUGCUUUUAUGAAGUCUUUAAAUAGUUCAUCUACAGCAGGAUGCUUGUUCUUACAAGUAUUUUGUUCUAGUUAAAACAAUAAACUACUAUCAAAAAGAGUCCACUUAUCCAAAACAAACUACUGCACACCAAAGCAAAGCAGAACAACUUGGCCAUGAACAAAUGUUUACUUUGCACCGUUGGUGGUGUUACCAGUGUUACAACCUUAUUUUCAUAUUGUUUUCUCUCCUCUGAAAUAUGAAACUGGUUUGAUCUGAAGUGUGUAUGCUAGGAUUACAUGUUUGUUCUUUAUACGCACCUUGGUUUUGCACAGCUCCCAGAUCACCAGAGCCGUGUUGUUGUAAUAAAGGCCACAGAUGCACUUUUUUCUUUUCUUUCUUUUUCAAUUCUUAUUCCGUGGUUUAAAAAGCAAAUCUAAGUUUAAAAACGUCCUCUUCUUUUUAGCUGUGUUUGCGUCUCUGUUUUACUGAUUGUGCUUCUCUGACUUUUUGCAUUGUCUAAUGGAAAUUAUUAAUGCUUAAUUUAAGAAUUCAUUCUGUUGCAAAAAUGUGAAUGAAGAACAUUGUUUUUAAUCAUCUAGUGUUUCUCUAAAUUUUUUGGGAACAAGAACACACACAAAGACUGUAAAUUUAAGUUUCAGAAAUCCCCUCUGUACUUCCUAAACCAUGCAUAUUAAACCACCUUGUAUAAUUUGUAAAAAUAAUAAUAAUAAUAAUAAUAAUAAUCAAUUGUGGUAAUGAGUGAUUGUGGUAGUGAGAAAUAUGACAAACAAGGCUUCAUUGUUUUGAUUUUAAUCACUAAAACAUUUCAUAUUUUGGUAAUAAAUUUUGAUAAGCAGUUACAUUCUAAAAUUCAGUAGCUUCUUUCCAUUCUGAACUUUUAUAUUACUGUAAAACUGGAUUUGUGUGUUUUUCCAUGUGUGAUUGUGUUUAAAUUGUGUUUAAAGUGUAUUUUGUUCUUUUUAGUAUUGUUUAGCAGUUUUCAGUAUAAGGUAAAAUUGUCAGUGUCUCUUUUGAGAGUUUUUUUUUCUCUCGUUUACAAGAACACUUGAUCAGUUUAACGUGACCAAAUGUAUUUUCAGUAUGUUUCACCUGAUCCGUGAUUUAAAAUAAAUUAUUUAAAACUC
Long non-coding RNA from Cyprinus carpio carpio, 3196 nucleotides. NCBI's taxonomy places the organism in Eukaryota, Metazoa, Chordata, Actinopteri, Cypriniformes, Cyprinidae. The record is from Ensembl.